Molecule: ribosomal RNA, 230 nt
Filed under: uncultured bacterium
Lineage: Bacteria
Description: partial 16S ribosomal RNA
Rfam family: Bacterial small subunit ribosomal RNA
Source: RNAcentral
AAGCGUGCGCAGGCGGUUUUGUAAGACUGUCGUGAAAUCCCCGGGCUCAACCUGGGAAUGGCGAUGGUGACUGCAAGGCUAGAGUUUGGCAGAGGGGGGGUAGAAUUCCACGUGUAGCAGUGAAAUGCGUAGAUAUGUGGAGGAACACCGAUGGCGAAGGCAGCCCCCUGGGUCAAAACUGACGCUCAUGCACGAAAGCGUGGGGAGCAAACAGGAUUAGAUACCCGGGU